This 210-nucleotide ribosomal RNA is filed under the name uncultured Syntrophaceae bacterium. RNAcentral describes it as "partial 16S ribosomal RNA". It matches the Rfam family "Bacterial small subunit ribosomal RNA", at positions 1171 to 1382 of the family's 1533-position model. The record is from RNAcentral. Lineage: Bacteria; Pseudomonadati; Thermodesulfobacteriota; Syntrophia; Syntrophales; Syntrophaceae.
AAGUGGGGAUGACGUCAAGUCCUCAUGGCCUUAUGCCCAGGGCUACACACGUGCUACAAUGGGCGGUACAAAGAGAAGCAACCUCGCGAGGGUGAGCAAAUCUCAAAAGCCGUUCUCAGUUCGGAUUGAAGUCUGCAACUCGACUUCAUGAAGUCGGAAUCGCUAGUAAUCGCGGAUCAGCAUGCCGCGGUGAAUACGUUCCCGGGCCUU